Molecule: ribosomal RNA, 505 nt
Filed under: uncultured bacterium
Lineage: Bacteria
Description: partial 16S ribosomal RNA
Rfam family: Bacterial small subunit ribosomal RNA
Source: RNAcentral
GAUGAACGCUAGCUACAGGCUUAACACAUGCAAGUCGAGGGGUAACGAGAGGAAAGCUUGCUUUCCUUGUCGACGACCGGCGCACGGGUGAGUAACGCGUAUCCAACCUGCCCCCAACUAGGGAAUAACCUUGCGAAAGUAAGACUAAUACCCUAUAAUUUCCUCAGAUGUCAUCUGACGAGGAAUAAGGAUUUAUCGGUUGUGGAUGGGAUGCGUCUGAUUAGCUUGUUGGCGGGGUAUCGGCCCACCAAGGCAACGAUCAGUAGGGGUACUUGGAGGAACGUCCGCCACAUUGGAACUGAGACACGGUCCAAACUCCUACGGGAGGCAGCAGUGAGGAAUAUUGGUCAAUGGGCGGAAGCCUGAACCAGCCAAGUAGCGUGCAGGAUGACGGACCUAUGGGUUGUAAACUGCUUUUAUACAGGAAUAAAGUUAGCCACGUGUGGUUAUUUGUAGGUACUGUAUGAAUAAGGACCGGCUAAUUCCGUGCCAGCCGCCGCAGUAA